RNAcentral lists this ribosomal RNA (355 nucleotides) under Fusobacterium sp. canine oral taxon 189. RNAcentral's name for it is "bacterial SSU rRNA". It matches the Rfam family "Bacterial small subunit ribosomal RNA", at positions 9 to 375 of the family's 1533-position model. The record is from RNAcentral. Lineage: Bacteria; Fusobacteriati; Fusobacteriota; Fusobacteriia; Fusobacteriales; Fusobacteriaceae.
GAGUUUGAUUCUGGCUCAGGAUGAACGCUGACAGAAUGCUUAACACAUGCAAGUCAACUUGAACUUCGGUUUGGGUGGCGGACGGGUGAGUAACGCGUAAAGAACUUGCCUCACAGUCUGGGACAACAUCUGGAAACGGAUGCUAAAACUGGAUAUUAUGAACUAUGCGCAUGCAUGGAUUAUGAAAGCUAUAUGCGCUGUGAGAGAGCUUUGCGUCCCAUUAGCUAGUUGGAGAGGUAACGGCUCACCAAGGCGAUGAUGGGUAGCCGGCCUGAGAGGGUGAACGGCCACAAGGGGACUGAGACACGGCCCUUACUCCUACGGGAGGCAGCAGUGGGGAAUAUUGGACAAUGGA